Non-coding RNA from Hyaloscypha variabilis F, 83 nucleotides. NCBI's taxonomy places the organism in Eukaryota, Fungi, Ascomycota, Leotiomycetes, Helotiales, Hyaloscyphaceae. The record is from the annotation of a GenBank genome assembly.
GCAUAAAUCUUCAGUGGUUAGCGCGUGGGCCUUUUAACCAAAAGAGCAGCCCAAGGUUGAGAGUUCGAGCCUCUCGUCGGGCG